This 3825-nucleotide long non-coding RNA is filed under the name Triticum aestivum (bread wheat). Its description in RNAcentral is "long non-coding RNA (TAES_LNC017004)". The record is from RNAcentral. Lineage: Eukaryota; Viridiplantae; Streptophyta; Magnoliopsida; Poales; Poaceae.
GCAGGUGCAGCCGGAAUAUCCUAUUUGACGCGUUUUGCGUCAAAUUGUCGAGGUACCGCACACCCCUUUGACUUGUUUGGGCCGGCCUGUUUAUUUCCUGUUCGCUGUCCCCCUUCCUCCCUCGACCGCUUCAUUCGUUGUCUACAGAGAAGCUUUCCCUUUCUCCUUCGUGCCUGGAUCCCCUUUUCCUCCGUCGUUCGGCCGCUUUUAUCACCUGCUUCUUCCUCCGGGAUCCUACUCCGGCAAGAGACCGCCGACCUCGUAAGGCGCCGCCGGGUCGCUGUGCUUCCUUUUCAUACGCGCCACCGCAUCAGAUCUGGCUGACUUCGUCACGUUGGAUGUUUAUUUGCAGGUCGCCGGUGUCUCCAGCGUCGGCGUCUGCAUCGUCUAGGGUUCCGACAAGGUCGGCGUCGUCUAGGGUUCCGACAAAGUCGGCGUAGUCUAGGUCCCCGUCAAGCUUCGUCAAGCUCGGCGUCGACAAGGUAAACGCGCCCAAAUUCCCCUGUUAUGGACCUUGCUCGGCGUCGACAAGGUCCAUCCCCGUACGUGCCGCUCUGCAGUGUCACCUGCACCGACGCUCCCAUCUGACUAUGUUCACCCCUUUGCCGGCGGCAGGUGCGAUGGGCGGAGGCAGCGACGGGGAGUGGAGCUCGUUUGGAUUGUAAACCAGAAGCUGUCCUCGGCAUCCCGAGCUUGAUUGCCGCCUUGGAAGGUAGCAAGUCUUAUUCCCUAAAAAAGUCUUCUACGUACUAAACAAAACUGAAUUCUCUCAGAAAGAAAGUUCUGAAAUGAGGCAUGUAAGUAGCAGGCUGAACUCAGAUCCCAUCCGACAUGGACAUGACAUGCCGUGAUGAAUGAUGAUGCUUGUGUGAUGAGCUGCGCAACUAGGCCAGCUUUGUUUUCAUACACUAUAGCUUGUCUCAUGUUUUGGUCUGAAUUAUGUUUACUUUCUGAAUGUGUGAGUUCUGGUUGGUUUCUGAUUUCUGAAUGUGUUGUGCUUUGUUCUUCUGCAGCCCAUCCUGCACACGGGGGUAGGCGCGGACGUGAGGCUCCAGGGUGCUACUACCGCGUAUGGCCGGCCCCGUAGUCCCGUGGAUAAGCAGCGGUAGGGACAUACAUAGACUGAAAUAUGAACUCAACUGAACAUCUGGACUCCUGAAUCCGUGCAUAAUGUCAUGUGGAGCGUUUUUUAUUUGAUUUGGAUGUUUCUGAGAUUAGACAAGGGGUUGUGUUUAGAGAUUUCGGAUUCAGAGGUAUGAUUCAGCAUGCUAUUGUUAGGAGGUUGUGUAUUCUGGCACUUGGCCUUGGGAUUUUUGCUUUUGUUUCUUGAUGAUCGUAGGGUGGUUUGUGUAGGUUGACGUAGAAGUUUUUCUAUGUUUUAAAAAUCUUACGUUUAUUUUACGAAUUUUGUAGCAGCAACAUGGAUUAGUUCUUGAGACUUGUUAGCAUGUAUAUUAGGUUUUCUUCUAUUCAGCCGGUGGUAUGCAUGCAUCUAUUAACAUUUAGGUCGCUUGUCCAUAUUAUAGGCUGGAGUAGUUUUGUAAAUGCUAGGCCAUGAAUUUAUUCACAUGUUUGUAUUGAUAAACGAUGCAUGUGUUGCAUCCUACCCGCACGACUUUGUUAUUUUAAUGUUGAAAAGUUUUCUUUAAUUUGCAUUUGAUGCCGUGAAUAGUCCUUUGCUUGCACAGUAGAGUGUUCUGGUGUUUUAGGUAAUUUCCUCUGUUGCUCUAGGAGCAGCACUACCAAUUUUUUUUCACACUAUAUUUGUGAAAUUAUACAAAUAAGAAUUCUGUGGUUAAUUGCAGCAUUUUGGGUGGACAUAGUUAGUUAACAAUGAUUUUGUAGUAUGGUGUCAUUCAUCUACCAUACUUCUGUAUCAUUUUCCUUGCAAGUAUUAUCAUAACAUGAUAAUUCGUGGUGUUCUUGUCCUCUGUGUUGCUUAGCUCUUAUUUGUUUGGGCACACACACAAAAGCAGAACUUGCCUAGCAAUCCCUUUUAAGUACUAACAUAGUUGUUUGAUCUUUUUACUGUAAUUGAUAUAGUUUGUUGACCUUUUUUCUAUCCUAAUGUAUUUAAUGUUUUCAUUAUCAUGCUUUCUUCUGUGAAUAGCACAACUAUCAGUGAUUCUAAAUACUUGAAUUAUGGUCCUUGAAUAACACUUGAAUAAUGUUCCUUGGAAAAUGUUUCUCUACAUACUUGAAUUAUGUCCCCUAAUAAUGUUCACUUCGAAAUGUUCAUUCAAUAAUGUUCCUUGGAAAAUGUUCCGCCAAUGACGUUCCCUACGAAAUUGUUCCUUCAAUAUUUGAUCCCUAAAUUAUGCCCCUUUCAAUAUGUUCCCUAAAUAAUGUUCCUUGGAAAUUGUUCAUCGAAUAAUGUUCCCUAAAUACUUGAAUUAUGUUCCUUGAAUAACACCUGAAUAAUGUUCCUUGGAAAUAGUUCCCUAAAUAAUGUUCCGCCAAUAAUGAUCCCUACAAAAUUGUUCCUUCAAUAUUUGGUCCCUAAAUUAUGCCCAUUUCAAUAAUGUUUCCUAAAUAAUGUUCCGUGGAAAUUGUUCACCGAAUAAUGUUCCCUAAAUACUUGAAUUAUGUCCCCUAAUAGUGUUCACUUGGAACUAUUCCUUCGAUAAAGUUUUCCGCUCAAUAUUUUGUGAUCCCUAAAUAAUGUUCCGCCAAUAGUAUUCCGCCAAUAAUGUUCCCUACAAAAUUGUUCUUUUCAUUUUUUCUUUCAUAAAUAAUUUUCCUUUGAAACUGUUCCCUAAAUAGUGUCCCCUAAAUACUUGAAUAAUGUCCCCUAAUAAUGUUCAUUUCGAAAUGUUCCUUUGAAUAAUGUUUCUUCAAUAUUUUGGACCCUUUGUUCAAAUAGUGUUCGCUAAAUAAUGAUACUUGAAAAAAGUUUCCCUAAUCUCUUUAAUGUUCACUUCAAAUUGUUCCUUCUAUAAUGUUCCCUACAAAAUUGUUCCUUCAAUAUUUGGUCUAUAAAUAAUGUUUCUUCAAAAAUGUUCUCUACAUAAUGUUCCCUAAAUACUUGAAUAAUGUUUCCCUAAUAAUGUUAUAUUUGGGAAUGUUCCUUUGAUAAAGUUUUUUGCUCAAUUUUUUGUAUGCCUCCAAUAAUGUUCCCUACAAAAUUGUUCCUUUAAUAUUUGUUUCCUAAAUAAUGUUCCUUGGAAAUACACAGAAACAACAGAUUCCUUUUCCAGACUGUAACUUUCAAGGAUAAUGAAAUUCAGCUUCCGUUUGUAACUUCUUUCCUGUAGAGACAUGUUAGUUCUCCAUUCCUUUUGUUCCAAGGAUACUUGAGAUUUUUGUACCUCCUUUUAUCAUGUUCUAUGUACUGAUAAGUACAUUUUUCAGUUAGUCUAAUCACAUGUGUGUUUCAAUAGGGUUUCCGAAUUUUCAAGUGAAGCAUUGAAGAUCAAUCAUUUUUCAUUUCCGCACAUCAACUAAGCUUGGGUAACUUCAUGGUGUUUCUUACCCAAAGAAUUUGUAAUUUACAAAUGUUUACGCCUUAUCUUUCUUUGCAAGAAUAUAUGUGUCAUGCAUUUUCUCCCUAAUUCCAACUAUCCUUUUUUCCUUUCUUAUUCUGAAGGGUGUCACUGGCAUUAUUACUACAAUCGAAAUUGCACUGUGAGAAGUGAUUUGGAAUCAAAGAGAAAAUAACAUGGGGAAAAUGUUUCAUGGUUCAGUGAUUUUUUUCUCCAUUUUCCUAUUUUCAAUCUCAACACAAACAGCAGAAUCAGAACCAGAAAUAGUUCCUGAAGAAGCUGAACCAGUUCAGUCUUAGGAUUUAUAUACUCUUUCCGAAACAUUUUUUUCCUCCAUUUUUUU